GAGCUAUGAGGAUUUUAAAGGAAUCCGAGAUUCCAUUGAAGACAUAAGAUCCAACUCUGAGCUCACGGAAAAG
This is a small nucleolar RNA of Cyanistes caeruleus (blue tit), 73 nucleotides long. Ensembl annotates it as small nucleolar RNA, C/D box 19. NCBI's taxonomy places the organism in Eukaryota, Metazoa, Chordata, Aves, Passeriformes, Paridae. The record is from Ensembl.